GAUGAACGCUGGCGGCGUGCCUAAUACAUGCAAGUCGAGCGAACAGACGAGGAGCUUGCUCCUCUGACGUUAGCGGCGGACGGGUGAGUAACACGUGGAUAACCUACCUAUAAGACUGGGAUAACUUCGGGAAACCGGAGCUAAUACCGGAUAAUAUAUUGAACCGCAUGGUUCAAUAGUGAAAGACGGUUUUGCUGUCACUUAUAGAUGGAUCCGCGCCGCAUUAGCUAGUUGGUCAGGUAACGGCUUACCAAGGCUACGAUGCGUAGCCGACCUGAGAGGGUGAUCGGCCACACUGGAACUGAGACACGGUCCAGACUCCUACGGGAGGCAGCAGUAGGGAAUCUUCCGCAAUGGGCGAAAGCCUGACGGAGCAACGCCGAGUGAGUGAUGAAGGUCUUCGGAUCGUAAAACUCUGUUAUUAGGGAAGAACAAAUGUGUAAGUAACUAUGCACGUCUUGACGGUACCUAAUCAGAAAGCCACGGCUAACUACGCG
Molecule: ribosomal RNA, 497 nt
Filed under: uncultured bacterium
Lineage: Bacteria
Description: partial 16S ribosomal RNA
Rfam family: Bacterial small subunit ribosomal RNA
Source: RNAcentral